CUUUAUUCUGUGUCUCUGUGUGUUGUGUGUUCUGUGUGUUCUCUGUGACAUCAGAAAUGGGCUAGAAAGGAGGAUUCUUUCAUGGGCUCCAUGACAUUAGGUCAUUCCCAUAUCUCAGUUUUCCUGCCUAAAAGUGGGACUUAUAAACCCUCCCUUGCUCAGAUGUUAGGAUGGGAGGAUUAAGAUUGCAAACAUUAUUGCUGUGCCUUUCAGCUAAAAGAUUAUGAGCAAUUUAAGGAUCAGAAUGGGGUCUGUAUAAUCUCUGUUGCAUCAUGCCUAACAUAAGCCCACAGCUGUAAAAUGGUCACACCAAGAGAUAAGCACCAAUCAAGCAAAGUUACAAAAAGGAGAGAUGCAAUUUGGAAUUCCUGAUACCUGGCUCUUCAUGGCUUCUCACACCACAGCCACAAAAAAAAGAAAGGGAAAAAAACCCACCCUCCAAAUGAAAACAGAAUUGAAGGGUGAAGAGACCCCAGCUGCCCAUGGGCAGACAGCUGCACCUCUAAUGCAGACCAUUGGACUUUCAUUAAAGAGAAAGACCCUUGCCCUGCUCUGUCUGCUCAUCCUUGUAUGUGUCUUCCUUCUGUCACUGCUCAGAUCCCAGCCUCCAUGUGUCCUUAAAUCAUGUUCCAGACCCCUUCCUCAUCUGGUAGCAGCCCCCUUCCUGCCUCCUUCCUUCCCCUGGAAUUCAUGGUUGACUUUGAGUAACAAAUUGAGGAAAGCUAAACUAUAGAUAAAACGGGACUACUGAAUAUCUGCAGGCUUGUCAGUAAUAGUGGCUCUUGGAGGUGAGGGAGGGUAUUGGCUGGAUGCCUACUGAGGACCCAGCACCAUUUUGGGCUCAGAAGCACUAUGCCAGUCAGGCCUUGGUCCUAGAGGCACCAUUUGCCCAAGUCCUU
This 899-nucleotide long non-coding RNA is filed under the name Monodelphis domestica (gray short-tailed opossum). RNAcentral describes it as "lncRNA (ENSMODG00000037215.1)". Lineage: Eukaryota; Metazoa; Chordata; Mammalia; Didelphimorphia; Didelphidae. The record is from RNAcentral.